This is a long non-coding RNA of Pyrus x bretschneideri (Chinese white pear), 321 nucleotides long. RefSeq lists it as uncharacterized. NCBI's taxonomy places the organism in Eukaryota, Viridiplantae, Streptophyta, Magnoliopsida, Rosales, Rosaceae. The transcript is spliced from 3 exons. The record is from RefSeq and is a predicted model, not a curated record.
ACAGGUUUCAGUUCUCACCCAUUUGCAUGCUAAGAAUGUACACAAAUCGGUAGAAAGAACUGCUUUGAAAUUCUUUCAGUUUUGGCAAGGCUACUUUUUCCAGAUCGAUGAACGUUUAUACGCGCAUCGGGUAAGCUCCGGAAAAUUACCUCAAUUGGAUCUGCAAAUGGGAGGAAUACCUAACAGCAGCAGGUGAAGUUUUCUUUUUAUGUGCAGUUUUUAAGUUACUUAUGCAUUCUUUAUUUUUAUCUCUUUUGCCCAUAUUCUGUACAUCAAUUUUGUUCAUUUAGUCUGCAUUUUCGGUACUUUUAUCUUUUUCCU